UCUCUCUCGCUCCCUAUUUUCUUAAUCCUUUUUUCUUUCUCUUUUUUCUUUUUUUUCUUCUUCCAUUGGGGAUAUGCAGCAUCGUACGCGCCGGUGCACCCGCCUGGGAAAAGAAUGACGCGGCCGGGAGAACGUCCUACGACGAAAACUGCGGUGUUCAAGUGGGUGAAAAUAAGAAAGAAAGAAAGAAAGAAAGAAAGAAAAAAAGAUAAAAGUUAUAUUACUAAUAAAGAAAGUUACAAGGAAGGGGACACACUAAUAUAAAAAAGAAAAUAUAAUAUGUAUACACACGCGUAUAAAUAGUCAGA
RNAcentral lists this long non-coding RNA (308 nucleotides) under Polistes fuscatus (common paper wasp). Its description in RNAcentral is "uncharacterized LOC122514090". Lineage: Eukaryota; Metazoa; Arthropoda; Insecta; Hymenoptera; Vespidae. The record is from RNAcentral.